UCCUCGAUAGCUCAGUCGGUAGAGCAAUCGGCUGUUAACCGAUCGGUCGUAGGUUCGAGUCCUACUCGAGGAGCCA
RNAcentral lists this transfer RNA (76 nucleotides) under Veillonella parvula. RNAcentral's name for it is "tRNA-Asn". It matches the Rfam family "tRNA". Rfam says of the family: Transfer RNA (tRNA) molecules are approximately 80 nucleotides in length. Their secondary structure includes four short double-helical elements and three loops (D, anti-codon, and T loops). Lineage: Bacteria; Bacillati; Bacillota; Negativicutes; Veillonellales; Veillonellaceae. RNAcentral also lists the same sequence under 24 other names. The record is from RNAcentral.